GAGGGUGUAGCUCAGUGGUAGAGCGUGUGCCUAGCAUGCAUGAGGUCCUGGGUUCAAUCCCCAGCGCCUCCA
RNAcentral lists this transfer RNA (72 nucleotides) under Camelus bactrianus (Bactrian camel). It matches the Rfam family "tRNA". Rfam says of the family: Transfer RNA (tRNA) molecules are approximately 80 nucleotides in length. Their secondary structure includes four short double-helical elements and three loops (D, anti-codon, and T loops). Further hydrogen bonds mediate the characteristic L-shaped molecular structure. tRNAs have two regions of fundamental functional importance: the anti-codon, which is responsible for specific mRNA codon recognition, and the 3' end, to which the tRNAs corresponding amino acid is attached (by aminoacyl-tRNA synthetases). tRNAs cope with the degeneracy of the genetic code in two manners: having more than one tRNA (with a specific anti-codon) for a particular amino acid; and 'wobble' base-pairing, i.e. permitting non-standard base-pairing at the 3rd anti-codon position. Lineage: Eukaryota; Metazoa; Chordata; Mammalia; Artiodactyla; Camelidae. RNAcentral also lists the same sequence under 2 other names. The record is from Rfam by way of RNAcentral.